AGUCGUCAGUACGGAGUUUGAUCCUGGCGUCAGGCGAACGCUGGCGGCGUAGCUUAACACAUAGCAAGUCGAACGGAGUACCUCGAAGAGAUUUCGGUCGAAUGGAGAGGACGUACUUAGUGGGCGGACGGGUGGAGUAACGCGUGAGGAACCUGCCUUUCAGAGGGGACGAACAGUUGGAAACGACUGCUAAUACCGCAUAACGUACGGGUAUCGCAUGGUACUGGUACCAAAGAUUUAUCGCUGAGAGAUGGCCUCGCGUCUGAUUAGCUAGUUGGUAGGGUAACGGCCUACCAAGGCGACGAUCAGUAGCCGGACUGAGAGGUCGGCCGGCCACAUUGGGACUGAGAUACGGCCCAGACUCCUACGGGAGGCAGCAGUGGGGAAUAUUGGGCAAUGGGCGCAAGCCUGACCCAGCAACGCCGCGUGAAGGAAGAAGGCUUUCGGGUUGUAAACUUCUUUUGACAGGGAAGAGCAGAAGACGGUACCUGUCGAAUAAGCCACGGCUAACUACGUG
RNAcentral lists this ribosomal RNA (517 nucleotides) under uncultured Oscillibacter sp. RNAcentral describes it as "bacterial SSU rRNA". It matches the Rfam family "Bacterial small subunit ribosomal RNA", at positions 1 to 507 of the family's 1533-position model. Lineage: Bacteria; Bacillati; Bacillota; Clostridia; Eubacteriales; Oscillospiraceae. The record is from RNAcentral.